RNAcentral lists this transfer RNA (82 nucleotides) under Dreissena polymorpha. It matches the Rfam family "tRNA". Rfam says of the family: Transfer RNA (tRNA) molecules are approximately 80 nucleotides in length. Their secondary structure includes four short double-helical elements and three loops (D, anti-codon, and T loops). Further hydrogen bonds mediate the characteristic L-shaped molecular structure. tRNAs have two regions of fundamental functional importance: the anti-codon, which is responsible for specific mRNA codon recognition, and the 3' end, to which the tRNAs corresponding amino acid is attached (by aminoacyl-tRNA synthetases). tRNAs cope with the degeneracy of the genetic code in two manners: having more than one tRNA (with a specific anti-codon) for a particular amino acid; and 'wobble' base-pairing, i.e. permitting non-standard base-pairing at the 3rd anti-codon position. The record is from Rfam by way of RNAcentral. Lineage: Eukaryota; Metazoa; Mollusca; Bivalvia; Myida; Dreissenidae.
GUUGCCGUAGCCUAGUGGUUAAGGCGAUAGACUAGAAAUCUUUUGGGAUAUUCAUGCGCAGGUUCGAAUCCUGCCGACGACG